GGAGAUAGUGACUAUCCCAGCAAGAAGUGGCUACUGACUCCAUACCUCAGACCACAGCCUGGAGCACAGUCUUCUUAUAACAGGGUCCACAAGAAAACCCGCAGCGUUGUUGAGAGGCAUCGGGCAGCUGAAGCCACAUUUUCACAUGCUACACAGUGAGAUCCGAGUUGGUCCUCCAUCCAAGGUCUGCCAAAUUGUAGAGGUUUGUGCAUUGCUGCACAACAUCUGCAAAGCAAGAAACAUCAUUCUUCCUGAGGAAGAAGAACAUCUUGCUGCAGCCGAGGAUGGAGGCAACGAGGAGCGACUCUAGCACAGAAAGUUCAAAGUCGCCAUGAAGUAAUCCUUUACAGGGAUGAAUUUGUUGUGCUUCACUUCAACAUUGAUGAGUGAUGAGACACCAGUGUCAUGACUGCUGAGAUUGGUGUUAUUCUCAUGUGGAUGAUCUCCUCCUCAUCCACAAACACCAGUGAUGUACCAGGCAAGUCUGGCCCCUGUUGGUGCUGCAAGUGGUGUGGCAGGUGCCUCCUCCUCAACACCCACUGCCUCGGUCACCACUUCUCUCUGUUGGGCUGCCUCUGCCACUUCCCCAGCAUCAUCUGCUGCCUGCACACUGCUGGCAUCAUUAGUUCUAACUUCAGAAACUAAGCUGAUAAUGUUUUUGGUUUUAUUGCUAAGGACAAAAGUAACAGAAACCAGUAAAUCUAGCUAAGGGUA
Long non-coding RNA from Portunus trituberculatus (swimming crab), 714 nucleotides. RefSeq lists it as uncharacterized. Lineage: Eukaryota; Metazoa; Arthropoda; Malacostraca; Decapoda; Portunidae. The record is from RefSeq and is a predicted model, not a curated record. The transcript has 4 exons.